UGAGCUGCGAUCSCAUGGUCAGUAGCUGGAAARAUUUUUUGGUCAGGGAUGAGCUCGCGGCCUAUCAGCUUGUUGGUGAGGUAAUGGCUCACCAAGGCGUCGACGGGUAGCCGGCCUGAGAGGGUGACCGGCCACACUGGGACUGAGACACGGCCCAGACUCCUACGGGAGGCAGCAGUGGGGAAUAUUGCACAAUGGGCGCAAGCCUGAUGCAGCAACGCCGCGUGAGGGAUGACGGCCUUCGGGUUGUAAACCUCUUUUAGCAGGGAAGAAGCGAAAGUGACGGUACCUGCAGAAAAAGCGCCGGCUAACUACGUGCCAGCAGCCGCGGUAAUACGUAGGGCGCAAGCGUUAUCCGGAAUUAUUGGGCGUAAAGAGCUCGUAGGCGGUUUGUCGCGUCUGCUGUGAAAUCCCGAGGCUCAACCUCGGGUCUGCAGUGGGUACGGGCAGACUAGAGUGCGGUAGGGGAGAUUGGAAUUCCUGGUGUAGCGGUGGAAUGCGCAGAUAUCAGGAGGAACACCGAUGGCGAAGGCAGAUCUCUGGGCCGUAACUGACGCUGAGGAGCGAAAGGGUGGGGAGCAAACAGGCUUAGAUACCCUGGUAGUCCACCCCGUAAACGUUGGGAACUAGUUGUGGGGUCCAUUCCACGGAUUCCGUGACGCAGCUAACGCAUUAAGUCCCCG
This 683-nucleotide ribosomal RNA is filed under the name Microbacterium hominis. RNAcentral's name for it is "bacterial SSU rRNA". It matches the Rfam family "Bacterial small subunit ribosomal RNA", at positions 173 to 871 of the family's 1533-position model. Lineage: Bacteria; Bacillati; Actinomycetota; Actinomycetes; Micrococcales; Microbacteriaceae. The record is from RNAcentral.